Molecule: long non-coding RNA, 950 nt
Organism: Helianthus annuus (common sunflower)
Lineage: Eukaryota; Viridiplantae; Streptophyta; Magnoliopsida; Asterales; Asteraceae
Exons: 4
Source: RefSeq, a predicted model, not a curated record
UGACCAUAAAUUUUGCUUUAGAGAGAAAGAGAAGAGCUACAUCUGUUUCCUCCUCCAUUUGUUAAUGUUUAAUUUGUUUUUCUUUUAAGAAAAAGUGUUGUGAGUUUGGGAGCGAAGAGGGAAUUUGGGUCACGCUUUUGAUACCAUAAGUUUUUCUACGAUUCGAUGUCAAUUGCAUGUUGUCUUUGUGAUUUUUCUUUUAAGUAAAAGUGUUGUGAGUUUGGGAGCGAAGAGGGAAUUUGGGUCACGCUUUUAAUACCUUGCUUCCACUUCUUCCUUGUGUACGUCGAGGAUAAUGGUAGCACAUAUGACGUGUUUCUAAGCUUUAAAUGUGGAAGUACCGGAAAUGAGCAAACGCUCUAGAUCGUUGACAAUGUUCGUAAUACUCAUGUGGACAAAAAGUACCGCUGUAAAUGGUGCGUAGAAAUUAUUUAGAGGGGAAAAGUAUGAUUGUUGAUCAUAAGAAGAAUUGUUCCACAAGAUUGGUAGCGGAUAUGGAGAAGGAGCAUAUCAGAGUUUUCGUAGUAUGAACUGAGUGCAUCUAUUGCAGCGGUCCUCGUGAUCAUCCAGAAGAGGAUAUCAGAUCUAGGUUGUUGAUUGCAUGUUGAUAUAAUUUGCGUUUCUUUAGAACAAGCGCAUGUUUCUGCUGUAUCUCUAUCUGUAUGGUAACUGCACUGAGGAUCAGAAGUUUCUGAUUUCGAGGCUGCUCAAGGGAGUGUGAGGUUUCCGGUGAGGUCGGUGAUGGCGUGAAGGAUGAGUUUGCCGGAGGUGGAGGUGGUGGCGGCGCUGCCGAUGCGGAGGCAUAGAUACUACUGAUGAUAACACAGUCCAUAUUCAAAUUUGGUUCAAUCCUUUGUUUUAUUGUUCGAGAGAUAUUAUUGAUGAUAACACAGUCUAUAUUCAAUCAUCUUAAUUGUAUAUUCAAUUAGAUAUCGAUGAUAUGUUUUCGA